This 82-nucleotide ribosomal RNA is filed under the name Ictidomys tridecemlineatus (thirteen-lined ground squirrel). The record is from RNAcentral. Lineage: Eukaryota; Metazoa; Chordata; Mammalia; Rodentia; Sciuridae.
AUCGAUGGCCAUAACACCCUGAAUGCGCCUGAUCUCCUGUCUGAUCUCAGAAGCUAAGCAGGGUCAGGCCUAGUUAUUACUU